GCUGAAGGAGAGGACUGGUUCAAGCCAGUACGCCAUCACCAAAUUCGUGGAGGAGAAGCACAAGCAGUUGCCUCAGAGCUUCAGGAAGCUUCUGCUUCUCAACCUGAAGAAGCUCGUCGCCUCCGGCAAGCUCGUCAAGGUCAAAGCCUCCUUCAAGCUCCCUCCUCGCUCCUCCGCCGCCGCGGCCUCUGCUGCUCCGGCGAAGGAGAAGACCAAGCCGGAAGCUUCCAAGGCUAAGAAGUCCACCGCCGCCGCCGCGAAGACUACUUCUAAGCCGAAGGCGAAAACCGUCGCGAAACCGAAGGCUAAAACCGUCGCGAAAUCCAAGGCGAAAACCGUGGCGAAACCGAAGGCGGCGGCGAAACCGAAGG
This 371-nucleotide long non-coding RNA is filed under the name Fragaria vesca (wild strawberry). Its description in RNAcentral is "long non-coding RNA (FVES_LNC002731)". The record is from RNAcentral. Lineage: Eukaryota; Viridiplantae; Streptophyta; Magnoliopsida; Rosales; Rosaceae.